Long non-coding RNA from Melospiza melodia melodia, 825 nucleotides. RefSeq lists it as uncharacterized. The transcript has 5 exons. NCBI's taxonomy places the organism in Eukaryota, Metazoa, Chordata, Aves, Passeriformes, Passerellidae. The record is from RefSeq and is a predicted model, not a curated record.
UUAAAAGAUAUGUGAUGGAGAUGGAGAAGAGUCUGCUUCCUCAGCUGCUGUCAGGCAGGCACUGCUGGCUGGACACGGCGUGUGCAGCAUCCUAACAGGGUCAUCCUCUCUCUAAAACUCCAUUGACACCAUUCCCCAACCAUUGCAAGCUGCCCACAGGCUUUCACCAUAACCCCUGAGACACAGCCAGCACAAGGCAGCUGGGGAUGACCUGAAAUUCAUGCUGAAGGCAGAGACACUUCUACAUUCAGAGCCUCCAAUUUCCACUACCAAGCUGGUCAGCCCAUGAAGAAGCGGGAAACGGCCUUUUAUCUUUCAAAGUAAUCACCAAAAAGGCACUGGAGAUACAGUGGGCUGUGACAAAAUGGAACAGCUGUCUGUGGACUACACUGGGUCAGAUACCACUACUUUACAGUGAUCCCUGUCCAAUGCAUGGAGAACCUUUGGGAGGAGUUUCUCUGCUACAGGCCAACAUUUGUCACCUUUCAUUUGCAAAUAUCAAGCUCUGGGAUUCCCUGCUGGACUCUGCCCCAAGCACUGGCCAAGGGCCCACUGGCUCCAAACCAGUUCUCUGCAUAGAAGGGUUUGCUCCUGGCUCCUUCACAGGGAGAACUCAGUUUAGAUUGCCUGAAUCCACCAAUAAAACUUGGAUUCACCACACAGCACCAGCACCUCUGGGCACUUUUUCCCUUGUGGCAAUUUUUCAUCUUGAUACUGAUUGUGAAAUCUGAAUUUCCAGGAAAGAUCGUUCAUCUUAAAUCAGGAAUUAACAAUAGUGUGCAAGCACUUUUCAGAAAACUGGCUUUAAUUUUUUUUGUAUUUGUA